RNAcentral lists this transfer RNA (71 nucleotides) under compost metagenome. RNAcentral's name for it is "tRNA-Gly". It matches the Rfam family "tRNA". Rfam says of the family: Transfer RNA (tRNA) molecules are approximately 80 nucleotides in length. Their secondary structure includes four short double-helical elements and three loops (D, anti-codon, and T loops). The record is from RNAcentral.
GCGGGUAUAGUUUAAUGGUAGAAUAGGAGAUUUCCAAUCUCUUGAUGAGGGUUCGAUUCCCUUUACCCGCU